Molecule: non-coding RNA, 2769 nt
Organism: Cinara cedri
Lineage: Eukaryota; Metazoa; Arthropoda; Insecta; Hemiptera; Aphididae
Source: the annotation of a GenBank genome assembly
CGUUCUUUUCCUUAUUUGUAAGAUACUCAACAGUUAACAUUAACAAUGAAACGUUUAAUUAUAAUUUCUAUAAUUUCUAUAAUUUUUGUGACGGUCUGUAUCGACACAUGCAGAUCAUACACGAUAAUUGGUAAAUAUGCAUAAUUUAAGUUGUAUUUAAAUGUAAACUUUUGAAGUUUUGUAAUGUUUUUAUUAACAUUUUAUAUACAUGAUAAGAUUUUCAAAAUAUUUUGACUAGUAUGGUUAUAUUUAGUUUAGACAAAAUCUCGAAAAUUUACAAAUAUUUUAUAAUUUAUAUAAUAAUUUUUCAGGAACUACUCGAAUACUUGGAUAUUUUAAAACCAGAAUAAUAAUGAAUUCGAAUAUAUUCGGAUAAUCGUAUUGUUGGGAUUUAAAGGCGUUUUAUACGUAGUAGAUAAAUACGUGUAUACCUACUAUUCAUAUAUUUGUAAUAACGCUUUCUGCAUUAGUGUCCCAAAUGAAAGAGAUUAUUUGCCCAGCCGUGUGAACAUGUAACCAAUUUUAUAAUUUUCUGUGGCAUUUAAAAAUGAUUAUAAUUUUUUCCUGUAGGAGAGGGUGUAACAGAGAUGUUGGCACCCGAUAGUAAGUAAUGUUUAAAAAUAUCAGAAUACAUGUAAAUCAAAUAUUAUGAAAAUGUAUUCAAAUAUUUUACAUUAAUAAUAUUUUUAGAAUAACUAAUUAAAAAAAAUUCAAUGUUAAAUCUAUGAUUUUAGAUAUUAUACGAUGAUUAUUAAAUAAUAAUAAUUAAAUUUCAAUAAGUAUCAAUUAUAUAAACUAUUAAAUUAAUUUAUGUAAAAUUCUUUAAUUUAUUUUCAAAACACUAAUACUAAACACAAAUUAAUCAGCAGCACUCCUGAAACGUGUAUAAUUUAUUAUUUAUUAUAAUUAAUAAAUAAUUAAUAAAUUAAAAAACUAUUAAUUUUAUAUUAAAAAUAAUUAAAUUAUUUUAAAUAAAUUAAGUGCGUUUUUUUUUUUAAAUUAACUUGUAGGUGCCUUUACAAAGUAACAAAAGAAAAAAAAGAACUGAAACUUUUAAUUUUAAACUUAACUUACAAUUAUAAAUAUAUAUUCACGAAUUAAAAAAUUACUUGAUAAUAAUAAUUAUAUCUUUUUUUUUUAACUCAAGACCCUCAAUGGCAAACAGUUAUACCGUUACCAGCUGGUAAGAUACUUCUUAAAACUAUAAAAAUAUGUAUAAUAAUCUUAAUAUGAAUUUGAAUACGUAAUAUUAAGUUCUUAUCUGACUUAAAUCCGAUACAGUCGUUCGCUGUUCAUCACUCAUUGUUAUGUUCGGUUAUCUGGGUUUUACGUAAAUAAACACUAUUAAAAAACUAUUAUAAAAACCAAACUCUUGCAAUGUGAGAGUGUGCCAAGUGCUUAAAAAAUCUAACCUAUUUUGACAACGUUUUUCCAUGCAAUAAAUAUAAUAAAAAUACAAAUUUCUAUGGUAAUGGAAUUUCUGAAUCGCAACUCAAAAAAAAGAUUAUACUUCGCACGAUGGAUGAAGUCACUGUUGUUGGUGAGAAGUUGGUAAAGUAGGAUAUAGAGGAGAAAUUAAUUUGUAUCUGUAAGUAACGAUAAAUCUAUACUAAUUAAACAAGAUAUUGUGUAGAGUUUUGUUGAUAGUGAUGCUUUUUCAACAAUAUGUAUGCCAUACUAUUGUAAACAAUUUAAAUAGGCAUUCUAUAUUUACUUAAAUAAUAUUUGUUUAAUAUUGCGCUGAUUUUCCCGUUUUUUACGUUUUUUCGCGGUUUUUCACAUUUACUGGGAAAACUCUUGAGAAAAUGACUUCCUUAAAGUACGUUUUCACUCAGAUUUUUUUUUCCACAAAAAGUGCUAUUAUUUUAAAUCUGAGAAAAAUUGCUGGUAGAAAAGUUGUUCGUAAAAAACAGAAAAGGCCGUAAUAUUUUUUAACUGAUACCUACAUUUUGAACAUUUUUCCGUUUCAUCCCAUUUAUCGAGAAAUCUCCAAAACAAAUCGAAAAAUGACUCCCCUAUAGUAUCACUCUAGUCCGAUUUCCUUCAGAAAAAGUACUACAAUUAAAAAUCAGAGCAAGAUUUCUGGUAGAAAAGCGUGCACAACAAAUCGAGGGUUAUUUUUCUAUUAAAUAGUUUUAGCGAGCGAUAGUUACUAAGUACACUUAAAAUGCAUUUGUUUCGAAACUUCGGUUUACAAAUAUGAUCUCUAUGAUGUCAAUAGAAUAUUUUAACCAUUAAAUUACGGCAAACAUAUUUAAGUUUGACAAUUUAUAGUUAUUUAACAUAACAUAUAAUAUCUGCUUAAUAUUAGUUCAAUUAAUUCUGACCUUAUCAUCGUUUUAAAAUCAGCAGUAUACAUAUGUUCAGGACAAAAAAUUUCAAAAUUAGAUUUGUUAUACGUAAUUUGAUAUUAAAAUUUCUCUAUCAAAAGAAAAAAUACUACAUUAAACACAAUUUUUUUUCCGACUACAAAGUAAGACUUUUAUUGAACCUUCACUGAAAUUUGUAUGCAUUUAUUUUUAGUUUGACAAUUUAAACAUUGAGUACUACCGAAUAAAAACUACGCACAAAAAUCGCAAAUUAAAAUGUUUAUAAGCUUAUAGUUAUAGCUCAUAGCAGUCUAGUCCAUCGGGAAAACUCCCGAAAUCUCGAUGGACCACUUUGCCCUUGUACAUAUGUGAACAUAAUCGUUUUGUUUUUCCAAACUACGGGAAUUUUUGCAUGAUAUUAAAAAUAAUAUUUAUUUUAUUAUUCUAGAUGCGAAUCCUG